This is a long non-coding RNA of Hermetia illucens (black soldier fly), 379 nucleotides long. RefSeq lists it as uncharacterized. The record is from RefSeq and is a predicted model, not a curated record. Lineage: Eukaryota; Metazoa; Arthropoda; Insecta; Diptera; Stratiomyidae. The transcript has 2 exons.
GUAUCAAAAGGUAAUAUAUAUCUGAAAAUUAGUUUAUAUAAAUAAAAAAAUUAGUAAAGUUUGCAAUUACAAAAAGCCCAAGAUCCAAUUUCGGAGUUAACGUGAAGAGUUAUUUUCUGUUUCGCAGCAUUUUGUUAUAUGAAAGCGGAUCAAGGAGGAGUGUGUAAAUAUUAUUUGCUUCGCUUCUAUUACGACUACUCGACGAGGAUGUGCUUCGAAUUCUUGUUUCAUGGCUGCUUCGGCAAUUUGAAUAAUUUUGGCACCCGGGAAGCUUGUUUGGAGACAUGUCGUACUGGACUAUAUUUAGAAUGAAACAUAAUUGUGAACUUGUUACAUGUAUUUAUUUAGUACAUUAAAACCUAUUGUUUUAUAUGAAUAA